This 375-nucleotide long non-coding RNA is filed under the name Ananas comosus (pineapple). Its description in RNAcentral is "long non-coding RNA (ACOM_LNC022091)". Lineage: Eukaryota; Viridiplantae; Streptophyta; Magnoliopsida; Poales; Bromeliaceae. The record is from RNAcentral.
UAAUAUGAAGAUUGAAGGCGGAAGAAAAACAUGUGAGGCUGAAAAGAUUAGAUACUCAACUCAUAAAUUUUUUUUCAUAUUAUAAUAAUAUAUUUCAUACAAUUAUUUUGUACUUUUGAACUUUUAGACAUAUUGUUAUAUCAAAUUUAGACAAUGUUCUAUACAAAUUAAACUAUUAAUCGUAUGAUGUUGAGAAUUUCAAGCGGCUCGUUUAGGACUCGAGCUCGCUCGACUCGAAAUUAGGCUCGCUCGAGCUCGGCUUGAAUUAAUUUCAAUCAAAGCAUUUUUUUUUUUUUUUUUUUUUUUUUUUUUUUUUUUUUUUUUUUUUUUUUUUUUUUUUUUUUUUUAUUUUUUUUUUUUUUUUUGAUUUUUUGU